ACGACCGCGCGCAAUGACCGCGCCGGUCUUCGGAACCAGGGGUUGCAGGUUCGAGUCCUGCCGGGCGUG
RNAcentral lists this transfer RNA (69 nucleotides) under Planctomycetaceae bacterium. RNAcentral describes it as "tRNA-Arg". It matches the Rfam family "tRNA". From Rfam's summary of the family: Transfer RNA (tRNA) molecules are approximately 80 nucleotides in length. Their secondary structure includes four short double-helical elements and three loops (D, anti-codon, and T loops). The record is from RNAcentral. Lineage: Bacteria; Pseudomonadati; Planctomycetota; Planctomycetia; Planctomycetales; Planctomycetaceae.